CCUCCUGUCUCUGAGGUCGUGGGAGUAGUGAGCAGGAGGAUGCGGGAACGGCCAGCCAGGCCAGCGGCCCACGCUCCAGCACCAGCACAUUUGCCUCGGGAACCCCCUGCUGACCUGUUGUGAUGGCACGGUUAACCUGUGCCUUCCAGCUGUCUCAGUGGAGCCACCGCCAGCCAGUCUGGGGGAUCCAAGCCACUGCUGAACCCCAGCGCAGUCCAGCAGCUCCAGGAACCUGGGCAGCAGCGCCCCUCACGCCCUGAUUCGCAUAGGGCUUACUUGUUGAUGCUCCUGGAGAGACUGCUCUGCAGGAGGAGCUGCCCUCAGGGCUUUGGGUGUCCCUGUGUGAAGCCAGGCCACAUGGGGUGCCUGGAGCUGUCAGCAAAGACCCACGCACCCGGCUGCCCCGUUCCUGCCCUGUACCCCUGCAAAUCUUCCAUCUCGCUCACCGGCUUCUCCUGGGCAGAUGCUCCUGCAGCCCCCAGGGAGGGGUCCUAGCACUCAGGCUGCAUCUCCCUGCUGGCCACAGGCAGAAUCUGAGUGUGGGUGUGAGCCCCAGAAUCCCCAGGGGGAGGAAGCCUCAAGAUGCGGUUGGCGUCACAUACGGUGUGUCAUCGUGGAGUUGGAGAUGUUCAUGCUGUAGGCAGCGGGGCAGCGCUCUCUGUCCAUCCCAGGCACUUGGGACUGUCCACUUCUGCCACCCACGCUCCUUGGCUGUGGGCCACAGUGGGAGGGGGCCUGGAGGAGUCCCCACCAGCCCAGGGUCGGGCAGGAGGGGUACUGGCUCUGUCUUUUCUGCUGGGACAAUAAAGCCUCCCACAUA
This is a long non-coding RNA of Lagenorhynchus albirostris (white-beaked dolphin), 820 nucleotides long. RefSeq lists it as uncharacterized. NCBI's taxonomy places the organism in Eukaryota, Metazoa, Chordata, Mammalia, Artiodactyla, Delphinidae. The record is from RefSeq and is a predicted model, not a curated record. The transcript is spliced from 2 exons.